AGUAACGGCGAGUGAACAGGGAAAAGCCCAAAUUUGUAAUCUGGCACUUUUUACAAGUGUCCGAGUUGUAAUUUGUAGAACUGUUAUCCGUCCUGGACCAUGUACAAGUCUGUUGAAAAGCAGCAUCAUUGAAGGUGAAAAUCCUGUAGAUGAUAUGGACUACCAGUACUUUUGUGAUACGGUUUCUAAGAGUCGAGUUGUUUGGGAAUGCAGCUCAAAGUGGGUGGUAAAUUCCAUCUAAGGCUAAAUAUAAGUGAGAGACCGAUAGCAAACAAGUACCGUGAGGGAAAGAUGAAAAGAACUUUGAAAAUAGAGUUAACAGUACGUGAAAUUGCUGAAAGGGAAACGUUUGAAGUUAGUUUUGUAUUCGUUGGAUCAGCUUCGCAAGGAGUGUAUUCUGAUGAUAAGCAAGUCAACAUCAGUCUAUGGGUGUCGGAGAAGGGUUUUGAGAAUGUAGCAAUUUAAUUGUGUUAUAGCUUGAGACUUGGAUACGAUGCUUUGGAUUGAGGAACGCGUAGUAAGCUUUGAGCGGAUUCGAAAGGAUCUCCUUACUAUGGAUGUUGGUGAAAUAACUUAACACGACCCGUCUU
This 590-nucleotide ribosomal RNA is filed under the name Melampsora salicis-argyraceae. RNAcentral describes it as "partial large subunit ribosomal RNA". It matches the Rfam family "Eukaryotic large subunit ribosomal RNA", at positions 82 to 655 of the family's 3401-position model. Lineage: Eukaryota; Fungi; Basidiomycota; Pucciniomycetes; Pucciniales; Melampsoraceae. The record is from RNAcentral.